CGCGGGCGCUACUCUCGGGCCGCCGUCCGCCGCGCCGCCUCCUCGGCCACUCAAAAGAUGAAAGAGAUGUUUAAAAUCAAUCAGUUCAAUUUAAUGGCAAGUGAGAUGAUUGCACUCAACAGAUCUUUACCAGAUGUUAGGUUAGAAGGGUGUAAAACAAAGGUGUAUCCAGAUAAUCUUCCUACAACAAGUGUGGUGAUUGUUUUCCACAAUGAGGCUUGGAGCACACUUCUGCGAACUGUCCAUAGUGUCAUUAAUCGCUCACCAAGACACAUGAUAGAAGAAAUUGUUCUAGUAGAUGAUGCCAGUGAAAGAGACUUUUUGAAAAGGCCUUUAGAGAGUUAUGUGAAAAAACUGAAAGUACCAGUUCAUGUAAUUCGAAUGGAACAACGUUCUGGAUUGAUUAGAGCUAGAUUAAAAGGAGCUGCUGUGUCUAAAGGCCAAGUGAUCACCUUCCUGGAUGCCCAUUGUGAGUGUACAGUGGGAUGGCUGGAGCCUCUCUUGGCCAGGAUCAAACAUGACAGGAGAACAGUGGUGUGUCCUAUCAUCGAUGUGAUCAGCGAUGAUACUUUUGAGUACAUGGCAGGCUCUGAUAUGACCUAUGGUGGGUUCAACUGGAAGCUCAAUUUUCGCUGGUAUCCUGUUCCCCAAAGAGAAAUGGACAGAAGGAAAGGUGAUCGGACUCUUCCUGUCAGAACACCUACCAUGGCAGGAGGCCUUUUUUCAAUAGACAGAGAUUACUUUCAGGAAAUUGGAACAUAUGAUGCUGGAAUGGAUAUUUGGGGAGGAGAAAACCUAGAAAUUUCCUUUAGGAUUUGGCAGUGUGGAGGAACUUUGGAAAUCGUUACAUGCUCACAUGUUGGACAUGUGUUUCGGAAAGCUACACCUUACACGUUUCCAGGAGGCACAGGGCAGAUUAUCAAUAAAAAUAACAGACGACUUGCAGAAGUGUGGAUGGAUGAAUUCAAGAAUUUCUUCUAUAUAAUUUCUCCAGGUGUUACAAAGGUAGAUUAUGGAGAUAUAUCAUCAAGAGUCGGUCUAAGACACAAACUACAAUGCAAACCUUUUUCUUGGUACCUAGAGAAUAUAUAUCCUGAUUCUCAAAUUCCACGUCACUAUUUCUCAUUGGGAGAGAUACGAAAUGUGGAAACAAAUCAGUGUCUAGAUAACAUGGCUAGAAAAGAGAAUGAAAAAGUUGGAAUUUUUAAUUGCCAUGGUAUGGGGGGUAAUCAGGUUUUCUCUUAUACUGCCAACAAAGAAAUUAGAACAGAUGACCUUUGCUUGGAUGUUUCCAAACUUAAUGGCCCAGUUACAAUGCUCAAAUGCCACCACCUAAAAGGCAACCAACUCUGGGAGUAUGACCCAGUGAAAUUAACCCUGCAGCAUGUGAACAGUAAUCAGUGCCUGGAU
Molecule: RNA transcript, 1410 nt
Organism: Piliocolobus tephrosceles (Ugandan red Colobus)
Lineage: Eukaryota; Metazoa; Chordata; Mammalia; Primates; Cercopithecidae
Gene name: polypeptide N-acetylgalactosaminyltransferase 1 pseudogene
Exons: 1
Source: RefSeq, a predicted model, not a curated record